Molecule: unclassified non-coding RNA, 244 nt
Filed under: Hevea brasiliensis (rubber tree)
Lineage: Eukaryota; Viridiplantae; Streptophyta; Magnoliopsida; Malpighiales; Euphorbiaceae
Source: RNAcentral
GUCUGAUCUUAUUCUCGUCUUUCUUAGUCUUUAAUAUAAGUUUAUGAGCAGUAAAUUUCAGCUACAGCUGUUUUUUCAUAUAAUAUAAAUUAAGUAUGCACACAUGUCUAUUUGUUUCAUAUGUGAUUUGGAGGAUAUGAAAUUCCAGCUGCAUGCAUUAAGUGUUGUAUAUAUGUAGCUUCAAAUUGUUCAGAGAUUUGUUAACUGUGUGUGGUUUUGGACUUCUUGAUUGAAUAGGUGGUUU